Molecule: ribosomal RNA, 382 nt
Filed under: uncultured prokaryote
Description: bacterial SSU rRNA
Rfam family: Bacterial small subunit ribosomal RNA (bases 84-382)
Source: RNAcentral
UUUACACUUUAUGCUUCCGGCUCGUAUGUUGUGUGGAAUUGUGAGCGGAUAACAAUUUCACACAGGAAACAGCUAUGACCAUGAUUACGCCAAGCUUGGUACCGAGCUCGGAUCCACUAGUAACGGCCGCCAGUGUGCUGGAAUUCGCCCUUGUCGGGAGUUAGGAAAUGUAGGAAUGCUAAUAGUAUUUCUACUUGACUAAGGCUCCGGAGGAAGCCACGGCUAACCCUGUGCCAGCAGCCGCGGUAAUACAGAGGCGGCAAGCGUUGAUCGGAAUUAUUGGGCGUAAAGAGCAUGUAGGCGGCUAUGUAAGUCGGUUGUGAAAGCCUUCCGCUUAACGGAAGAAUGGCGGUCGAAACUGCAUGGCUUGAGUGCGGGAGGG